ACGAAUAAAUGGAUUUGGCAGCCAAAAAUUUGAAGUACAAGAAGAAAAUUUAUGAUAUAUACAAUAAAGAACAUUCAAACUAAUAUCAAGUUAGCUAUUAAUGAUUGAGAAACUAAAUUGAGUCAUGUUUUUACUCUACUCAGGCUGAGGGUCAAUUAGACAUAUAUAGUUUCUCUACCUUGAAAACAGACCCUAAAUUACAUCAUGUUUAUCUACUAACAACAACCAUAUUUCCAACCUAAUUAAUAACACAAGGAAAAAAUUGCUUCCAAGACAUGUGUGAUUACAAUGAUAUUGCCAUACAACAUAACCCUAUCAUAAUAAUAAUAAAUCUCCUAGCUAUCAUCUUAGAUCCAAA
Molecule: long non-coding RNA, 358 nt
Filed under: Solanum tuberosum (potato)
Lineage: Eukaryota; Viridiplantae; Streptophyta; Magnoliopsida; Solanales; Solanaceae
Description: long non-coding RNA (STUB_LNC007067)
Source: RNAcentral